CUUCAGCGAGCCGAGCCACAGUGGGCGGCCCGCCGGCCGGUCCCGGCCGUACGUGGCGAGCAGCGCCUGCGCCUC
This 75-nucleotide antisense RNA is filed under the name Micromonospora carbonacea. RNAcentral's name for it is "ASpks TB sRNA". It matches the Rfam family "ASpks TB sRNA". The record is from RNAcentral. Lineage: Bacteria; Bacillati; Actinomycetota; Actinomycetes; Micromonosporales; Micromonosporaceae.